GCAAAGGCAGCAGUGGCGUGAGCAGUGGCCAAAGUCUGCACGCCAGCAGGAGAUGGCAGGGGUGACACAGCAGUGGAAAAAGUGCAGAAAUGUCAGCACCUGGGGGAACAAGGAAGGAGUAUGACAAGAGCAGAAGAACUGGAGUCCCCGGGGUAUCCCAGCAGGCGCUCGUGGGAAGUGGUAGAAAGGCAAUGAUGGGUUCCUUACCAACCUUGGACUCUCUGGCAGCCACGUGAAGCCUCUUCAGUCGGAGGGCUCUCCUCUCCUCUCCUCUCCGCUGUUGACAUGCUCUGCAUUUUUGCCAGCAAAGCCCUCCAUGGAGCCCCAAGUGAAGGACUGCAGAGCUGCUGGGUUUGUGCUGACUGCUCUUGGCAGGACCGGGAGCUCUGAG
Dromaius novaehollandiae (emu) is the source of this 391-nucleotide long non-coding RNA. RefSeq lists it as uncharacterized. The record is from RefSeq and is a predicted model, not a curated record. NCBI's taxonomy places the organism in Eukaryota, Metazoa, Chordata, Aves, Casuariiformes, Dromaiidae. The transcript has 3 exons.